This is a long non-coding RNA of Bufo bufo (common toad), 121 nucleotides long. RefSeq lists it as uncharacterized. The record is from RefSeq and is a predicted model, not a curated record. NCBI's taxonomy places the organism in Eukaryota, Metazoa, Chordata, Amphibia, Anura, Bufonidae. The transcript has 3 exons.
UCAAAGUUCCUUUCAACUUUGAAGAGAGAGUUCAAGAGGGCGUGAAACCGUUAAGAGGUAAACGGGUGGGGUCCGUGCGGUCCGCCCGGAGGAUUCAACCUGGCGGGAUUCAGGCAGUCGG